This 537-nucleotide long non-coding RNA is filed under the name Mus caroli (Ryukyu mouse). Its description in RNAcentral is "expressed sequence AW495222 (MGP_CAROLIEiJ_G0002840.1)". The record is from RNAcentral. Lineage: Eukaryota; Metazoa; Chordata; Mammalia; Rodentia; Muridae.
AAUGGAGCCCAGCGAAAGGAAGCAGAAGGAAAAACACAAAACCAAAAACAUCAGAAACAUUGAGGCUAGAAUACCGCGAUUUUUAACUCUCAAGGAGUGGCUUCUCUGUCCUUUUUCCUGGGCAUGGGGACAAAAUUGUUCUGUUUUCUGAGGACAGCUGGCCUCACCUGAGUCCUGGCUGUAGACUUGAGUUCGCUGCAGCAGGCAGGACAGGGCUUCCUGCAAGCUUGCAUCAAUGAUAAGGCCCAAGGUAUAGGAGAUUCUGAUAGCAGUGACCGGAAUGUCUGAGAUGUUUAAAGAUUUGGUUUGAAGAAACUUGAAUACAUCAUCGCUGAGAUCUUCUGAGGUCAGCUUCUGAAGGACUCUCCUUGCAUAUGGCCCUGCAACUCCCAGGACCCCAAACUCAUCGGUUAUGUUUUGAAUUUCCACAUCAUAUCCACCUCUGAAGGCUGCUUCUUCAAUCCAUCUGCAUUGGGGUCGUAAGCGUGGUUAAACGCUUGAAUAAUGCAUGUUUCUACUAUACUACGUCUCUGAAGU